This 253-nucleotide ribosomal RNA is filed under the name uncultured bacterium. RNAcentral describes it as "partial 16S ribosomal RNA". It matches the Rfam family "Bacterial small subunit ribosomal RNA", at positions 524 to 776 of the family's 1533-position model. The record is from RNAcentral.
UACGGGGGGGGCAAGCGUUGUUCGGAAUUACUGGGCGUAAAGGGCUCGUAGGCGGCCAACUAAGUCAGACGUGAAAUCCCUCGGCUUAACCGGGGAACUGCGUCUGAUACUGGUUGGCUUGAAUCCGGGAGAGGGAUGUGGAAUUCCAGGUGUAGCGGUGAAAUGCGUAGAUAUCUGGAGGAACACCGGUGGCGAAGGCGGCAUCCUGGACCGGUAUUGACGCUGAGGCACGAAAGCGUGGGUAGCAAACAGG